AACGCGAAGAACCUUACCUGGGCUCGAAAUGUAGUGGAAGUCAGCAGAAACGUUGGCGCCCGCAAGGGCCGCUAUAUAGGUGCUGCAUGGCUGUCGUCAGCUCGUGUCGUGAGAUGUUGGGUUAAGUCCCGCAACGAGCGCAACCCUCAUCUUUAGUUGCCAUGCCGCAAGGCGGCACUCUAAAGAAACUGUCGGCCACAAGCCGAAGGAAGGUGGGGAUGACGUCAAGUCCUCACGGCCUUUAUGUCCAGGGCUACACACGUGCUACAAUGGGCGGCACAAAGCGUCGCAAACCCGCGAGGGGGAGCCAAUCGCAAAAAGCCGCUCUCAGUUCGGAUUGCAGUCUGCAACUCGACUGCAUGAAGCUGGAAUCGCUAGUAAUCGCGGAUCAGCACGCCGCGGUGAAUACGUUCCCGGGCCUUGUA
Molecule: ribosomal RNA, 425 nt
Filed under: uncultured Acidobacterium sp.
Lineage: Bacteria; Pseudomonadati; Acidobacteriota; Terriglobia; Terriglobales; Acidobacteriaceae
Description: bacterial SSU rRNA
Rfam family: Bacterial small subunit ribosomal RNA
Source: RNAcentral